CCUACGGGUGGCAGCAGUGAGGAAUAUUGGUCAAUGGCCGUAAGGCUGAACCAGCCAAGUCGCGUGAAGGAAGAAGGAUCUAUGGUUUGUAAACUGCUUUAGACAGGGAAGAAAACAGACAGUACCUGUAGCAUAAGCUCCGGCUAACUACGUGCCAGCAGCCGCGGUAAUACGUAGGGAGCAAGCGUUAUCCGGAUUUAUUGGGUGUAAAGGGUGCGUAGACGGAGAAGCAAGUUAGUUGUGAAAUCCCUCGGCUUAACUGAGGAACUGCAACUAAAACUACUUCCCUUGAGUACUGGAGAGGAAAGUGGAAUUCCUAGUGUAGCGGUGAAAUGCGUAGAUAUUAGGAGGAACACCAGUGGCGAAGGCGACUUUCUGGACAGUAACUGACGUUGAGGCACGAAAGUGUGGGGAGCAAACAGGAUUAGAUACCCUUGUAGUC
RNAcentral lists this ribosomal RNA (442 nucleotides) under uncultured bacterium. RNAcentral describes it as "partial 16S ribosomal RNA". It matches the Rfam family "Bacterial small subunit ribosomal RNA", at positions 338 to 795 of the family's 1533-position model. The record is from RNAcentral.